This is a long non-coding RNA of Portunus trituberculatus (swimming crab), 787 nucleotides long. RefSeq lists it as uncharacterized. Lineage: Eukaryota; Metazoa; Arthropoda; Malacostraca; Decapoda; Portunidae. The record is from RefSeq and is a predicted model, not a curated record. The transcript has 2 exons.
AAGUUUUGUGAAGUAGAUAUAAUGAAGAUAACCGUCCUUUUGUGGGUCUUCUCUCUCCUUUACCAUGUGCGCUAUAGAUGCUCUGUCUUUCAAGUCACCAAAUUUGACUGUUAGAUAUGAUCAUGGAAUGUUGAUUUAAUUUCGUGGUUUGCUUACACUCUGCUUUCGCCUGCUGCUUUGAAUCAAACCACGAGAUCAUCACCUACUACACUAUGGCUUCACUUACAUGGGAGAAACAAGUGGAACACACCCUUAUCAAGUUGGUUCGCCAACAGCCACCACUGUGGAACACCAUGGAUCCCAAUUACACCAAAAAGAAAUAAAAAAGAGUUUUACAGGCAAAUAGCAGACACGUUGCAAGCACUGUACCCAGAAAUUCAGGAUAUUACACUAGAAAAUGUCCAGAUCAAAUACACUAAUUUUCGGACCUCAUUCAAGCGAAAGCUGAAGAAAAUAAGGACUGAAGAGUGGGUUAGCAGGCAAUAGUGAACCAGUAGACUCUCAGUGGCCUCUGUUCAAUUCAAUGCUGUUCUUAUUGGAUGUUGUGGAACCAGGUCCAAGCUGUACAACAACUGCCCUUUGAUUCACAUGCACCGGCAAGUUACUAUUUUUAGUACAGGGGAUCCUCACAAUCCGACGGGGUUAGAAGAGUUUUUCAUCAGUCGAAUCAACAUUUAUUUGAAUCAUGAAGCAAUUUUUUCCUUAAGAUACUUAAGUAUUAGGGGGUAUAAGGACCAACCUCCAGUCUACGUAGAUGCCCCCCCCCAAAAAAAAACAUCACUAUAAC